RNAcentral lists this long non-coding RNA (5752 nucleotides) under Brassica rapa (field mustard). RNAcentral describes it as "long non-coding RNA (BRAP_LNC003077)". The record is from RNAcentral. Lineage: Eukaryota; Viridiplantae; Streptophyta; Magnoliopsida; Brassicales; Brassicaceae.
CUAAGCCGAGGAAGGCCAGAAGUCAGAGAUCAAGGAGUCGCCUCCGUUUCCACCAGUGAUAUAAUUGUCAACGCGAAUUACGUUCGAUCGAGGCUGAGGAAAAAUCCAAUUUCCAGCUUUGUUUAGAUAUGACAGAGAAGCACGUAGGGGGAUACCCUGUCUUGAAGACGAAGUAGCUGCAAAAUAGUUUUUUAGCGAUCUAAGCACUGACCAGUUAUCAAUCAAGAAGCGACAGUUCACUCCAUUCCCAAUUCGCAGUUUUAUCCAGGUAUAUACUUUCCCUUGCAUCUUGAUUAGUUUGUUGGCCAACCAAAAAUUUGAUGCAUUCGUGUUGACUGUCCAAUAGUUAGAUAAAGAGCUAUGUAGAAUAAUAAAAUUUGAAAGAUUUCCCACAUUGUUUUUGUUUCAGCCAUGUAGUUUUUCACCAUUGUUUUUUUACCAUUGUUUUUGUUUGCUUUUUUUUUGGAUAGAUUUCUACACUUUUGUUGUUUGUUGCAAGGACGAAUAAUAAAAAAAAUUAGAAAAUAUUAGAUUAUAAUUUAGAUAUAGAUACAAUUCAUUUUUAUAAUAUCAUGAAACUUACAUGGGAUAUUUUUUUUUUUAAUAAUUACAUGGGAUAUAACUUCUACAUGUCUUAUGUCCUAUGCAUAUGUUCCAUGGAUAUAUAAUUUUUAUAAGUAGUUAUUGUUUGAUACUUGACCCUAGACAGACAUAACAAAUUACUAAUAGAUUAAAACUAUGAUUAUUAGUGAAACUAAACAUUUGUUUCAAGAAAACAAAGAAAAUAUGUUCCAAUACAUUUUUUUUUUUUCCAUCAGAAAUUUUAUUUAAAAUAAAGGUCAAGCCCAACCAUUACAAAGCCCAAACCACAAGGGGCAACCCUACUCCACACAAACAAAGGCCCAUAAGCCCAACAAAAAACGGAAACCCUAGUUCCCAAAACGGAGGCGCCACUCUCACGCACAACCGCUUCGAACCACGCCGGAAAACCGCAACAAUCGAGACCCCGGUGCCAUCUCCCAUGAUCGAACCACCGGUACACCCCUAAGCUCAAAAGCUCCACCAUCUUCACCGCUAACACCCUCAAGACAGCGAUUCUAAACUCGGAUAGCAUCAAUCGCAGAGGAGAGCUAAUCCGUCACAAUUAAAACACCACCACCGACUAGAAAGCUUAGCGCAAACCAUCACCCAGUUACCACCGGGGAGCGUCUAUCAUCCUCCGACGAGAGCUCCACCAGCCAAACCAACCCGACAUCGCUAGAGACUAAAAGAGAAACCUAAAAAACAGAGAUAAAAAGACCACUAGCCGGCGGCGCAAGGCACAGAACAACCUUCACGCCCCGGAGACAAGAGCCAGCGACAGCGGAGCAAAGGAAGCCUCCGCCUCCCGGUGACAAAGUCGGCGUCGAUGGAGCUCUAUAAGCCUCCACCUCCCGGAAAACUAAUACUACUCGAAACUACCGGCUUCACCACCCCCAUCCUCCACCCGCUCGCGUCGUUGCUCCAGACACAGCGCCUCCACCGGGUCGCCCCCGGAGGUGACGACAACGGACAAGGCCCGGACCAGAGCUCCGACAAGGCGAUAGGGGGAGGACAAGUAUGAGAAGCUGAAGAAAAGCACUUGGUGAAAGAUCAAAGGGCUCCGGCGCCGGCACGCGCGCUCACGCGCCGGCCGGACGUCGGAACCCUCAACCCGAUCUGCUUUCUCUCUCUAACUUUUCUCUCUCUCGGUGUGUGUAUUUGUCCUCUCAAGUUACUUUUAAAUAUGUUCCAAUACAUUAAAGGGUACAUUAAAAUUACAAUUUAAAAUAUUAAAUAUCAAGUUGAGUGUUGUUUUAAUAUAUUUAUACAGUUUUAUUUUAAAUUGUUUGUUUAAAUUAAUUAUUAAAAUAGUUUAGGACAAGAAAAUGUGUAUUCGAAUCUUACCAGAAAAUAUGUGUUAGAAAAAGACAUUAACAUAUAUCAUAUUCGACAACAUUCUCUCAAAGUUUUUCUUUUGAUAUAUAUGGUAAGAAAGCCCUAUAAAGGUACGUAUAUACUUACUAAUCAAGUUGAAACAUGAUGGACGAAGGUACCUUUGGUAGGACGAGUGAUUAAACAAGUCAAUUUGUUAUAUUUGUUUGAAAAACAUUCAUGAUUAAAACAUAUUGAUGUGAUAUAUCCAACGAUAACGUACACAAGCUGGAGAAUCCUAGGUGCAGUGCCGUGCGAAGAGUUUUAGGGGCCUAAGGCAAAUUCUAAAAAUAAAUUUAUUUACAGCCGUAAUGAAAACAAUUUUUUAAUAUGAUAUAUUAUUUUCACCAAAUACACAAGUCUAAUACUGUAAAAAAUAAGUUUAUAACGCAAAUAUAUUAUAUUAUGUUAUAUAGAAAAAAAUACAUGAAUUCAGAAAAUGAGUUAAUUAAUUUUCGUAUAAAUGUUUUUUUCUUAAAUAAGUCUAAACCAUUAGACUAGAAAUUAUUUUAAAUUUUGGGGCCUUAAAAAUAAUCAUAUUAAUUGGGGGCCUGAGGCGAAUGCCUUUUUCAAUACACUGUAGGCACGCCUCUGCCUAGGUGACUAGAUGUCUAGAUUCUUAUAUUCCAUCUUUUCUAUAACUAUAUUCUUUUCUCCAUUUUGACAUACUGGCUGAUUAUUCAGACAAGUCAAUAGUUCGACUAUUAACCCGACUCCCGCGACACAUUAUUCACCGUGAUUACUGAAUCAACCAUAUGUAAUUUCAUGAAUUUGAGGUAUUUCCAACCCACAAUACCAUUUUAGUGUAGUUUUAACACUAUAAAAGAAUCCCAACUAUAACACCAAAUUUUACAUCAUUUUGAUUUUUAUAUUAUGUUAUUAUAUUGCACAAAAAUACAUCACAAUCAAAUGUUUGUUUAAAUAAAUAUUUACUUUUUAAAAUUUAAUAAUAUUAAAAUAAUAAAUCAAAAUAAACUAUUUUAAUAUAUCACAUAUAUUGAUUUCAUAUAUUUAUUUUAUUAUUUAUAUUUAUUUUAUCACCAAAUUUUAUUUUAUUUAAUAUUUUAUUAAUAAAAAUAGGUAAAUAGUAUUUAAUAUGAUAGAUAGUAACACGCCAAAUUUGAUAUGGAUUGUAACUUACCAACUUUACACUAAAAUACUGUAAUUUAAGAAUUAUGUUGGAGAGAAUUUAGUGUAAAACAUACACUAAAAUGAUAUUUUAGCUUUAGGUUAGAGAUAGCCUUAGGCGAAAUGAUACAUCACCUUUAUUCCUCAGUCCCACUAUUUUUUUUUUUAAUUAUACUUCUGAUCGUAUAACUAAAUAUACAUAAGCAUACAUGAUAUUUAACAACUUUUCGAUGUUAUCUUUUAUCAUGUGCAAAUAGAGCGGUCAAAUCUGAAUAAAAAAUAUUAAUUAAGUAGUCUAAAACUUUAAGUUAUAGCUUAUAAUUUUAAAAGAAACUUAGCACAGAGGCAAAACUACUCUAUAGGUAUGAUUUUAGGGUAGAGUUAGAGUAAAUUAAAAUAGAUGAAAAAUGAUUUCAGCUAAUUUAUUCUAAUUUCAGUUAAUCAAGUGAAAUAUGAUUCCACCUUAUUUACUAUAAAAAGUGAGAAAAUAGUAGAAGUAGAAUAAUCUUACCUCAAUUUUUAAUAAGAUGAAAAAGUUUACUCCAACUUUAUUAUAUAUAUUUUUCUCUCUUAUUUUCAUGAUUUUUUCACUGCUUUAUUCUAGUUGAUAACCAAUCAGAUAAAGUUGCACGUACACCUAUAAAUAUGAAUAUUAUAUAUAUAUUUUGUCAAAAUCACUAUAAUUAUAUUAGAUAAGCGGUUAUAAUCGUGUAGUAGAUCCAAUAUUUACCGAAGUUUAAUAUUUUAUAUAGAGUGUGACUGGUUAAUGACAUAGUAAAAUGGUGAAAAUAUGAAGUGGAAAAGAGAGUAAAUAAAAAUUUAAAAAUUGGAGUUAACUUUUCCACUUGUUUAAACUGAAGGAAUAAUUUAUUUUUACUAUUUUCAUUUUUAGAGUAAACAUGUGGAUAUAUUCAGUUACCAUUUUUAAAAUGAUAAAAAAAAUAUAUCCUAUUUUUAUCUGCUGUUUAAUAAUAAUCAAUCAUAUUAGACAAAAUUAUUAUAUUGAGCUAAAUAUAAUAAAAUUUUAUUAAAUUCAUAUAUUUUAUUUUCAUAAACAUAAAAUAUUUAUAUUGAAAACUAAAAAUAUAAUAUGUUGCUAAGACGGGUUAACAUUAUGUUAAAAAUAUAUAUAAAAUAUUUAUAUUCAAAACUAAAAGUAUAAUAUGUUGCUAAGCUAAAUACGAUAAAAGUAUAUUAAAUUGAUAAAUUUUAUUUUCGUAUAUAUAUAUAAACUAUUUAUGUUAAAAAUAUAUACUAUUUAUGACAUAGCAGUUUAAAAUUAGAAAACUUUAUAAUACAUGUCUAAAAAUUAACAUAUCUUAGACUUUUGUAUAUACAAUGAUAUAUCAUGUAAAAUGAAUAAGCGGAAAAAAUAUUGGUAAAAGAAAUUUAUUUUUGAAAGACAGGUCCGAAUUUAACUUGAAUUAAACACAAAAUAGUUUUAAAAUAUAUUUUCCCAUGAAUCUAUUAAUUUCUUAAUAACUAAAUACAAAUAUAAUAAAAUAAAUAUGUAAUAAAAAAUGAUAAACACAGACAAUUUUAACCAAUUGAUUAAUUAAAACAAACAAAUUAUAAAAUUAUUGUAUUUGAAAUAGUUGUAUAAACAUUCAAGUAUAUAAUUAAUAUUAAAAAUAUAUACUACUAAUAAUCUAAAACAAAUAUCUAUGUAUAUAAAAAUGAAAACAAACAUCCAUGGAGUUGCGCGACUCAAAAUCUAGUUUACUCUUAAAAUUAUAUUACAUAUACCGAUAUUAUAUUUUUGAAUAUGGCACUGCACUGACUCUUUAACAUAUAUCCGAAAUGAACUUGCCAGUGUUGCAUCUCCCAUUCUUUAUAUAUACAAAUCAUAAAUUAAUUAAAUCAAAUCAUCAGGAUUCUGAUUAGUGCUAUCUUUAUCUUUUUUUUUUGUUCAAAGUGCUAUCUUUCUCUUUUGUUAUCAGAACUUACGAGAAAAAAGCUAUGAACUACCGAGACUUUUUUUCGAACUACGAGACUAUCUCUAAAUAUUCAACGGUAAUCACUAGUUUGGAAUUAAAAGGGGCACAAAAGAACUAAUGAAAGUGAUGAUAUAUUAUGUUUAUCAAAAAAAAAAAAGUGAAUAUAUUGUCCUAGCGAAUGUUUCUUACACGAAAACAAUUAGAAAUAUUUAUAAACAAAAUAAGUAAAAAAUGAAGAAGGAACGUCCAGAAGUCCAGAGAAUAUACAGAUGAAGUUAGAGAUGGUGGGCUGAGGAGCACGUGCUAUGUUAUGAACGUACGAUCGACAGAACGUACAAAACAAGACGAAAGUGGAAUUUAUUAUAAAUCAAGUUAUGUAAUAUUGGAGCCAUAUGAGCUUUGUUCAAAAAAUAAUAUUGGUGCCAUAUUAAAUGUCAAGAUCGCUUUACAAAUUACAAAUCUAUACAAGUUUCAGUAUGUGGUCUAUAAAAGGUAAGGACCCGGUCAGUGGGCUCGGAUGGUUCUCAAGAGACGAUCGAGAUUUUUCAAAGCUAUAGUUUUUUUUUCUUUUUGGUACAAUGUUAAAUUGAUUAUAUCAAAUUUUUCGUUUUUUACAGAAAUACAAAAUUAACUAGUAGUGGAGAAGCAGAAAUUAAACCUAAAGAAGCAUUUAUAAGGAAACGUGCAGAAUCUAUUACAAAGUAUAUAGGUCCUAUAAGAUGAACCUGACGUCG